UCAAAGUAUCAAGCUUGGCUUGUCGUUGGGCCCUUUGUCCUGGUGACAGGUCCAAAAGAUAAUGACCGGUGUCAUAAAGACUCUAUAUGCAACGAGCUUAUAACAGCACGCAUCUAGUAGUUAUAUGGCCCGGUUGUCACCCCUUUAUUUAUCAA
RNAcentral lists this unclassified non-coding RNA (155 nucleotides) under uncultured Herpotrichiellaceae. RNAcentral describes it as "sequence contains ITS2". Lineage: Eukaryota; Fungi; Ascomycota; Eurotiomycetes; Chaetothyriales; Herpotrichiellaceae. The record is from RNAcentral.